RNAcentral lists this ribosomal RNA (167 nucleotides) under uncultured Actinomycetes bacterium. RNAcentral's name for it is "uncultured actinobacterium partial 16S ribosomal RNA". It matches the Rfam family "Bacterial small subunit ribosomal RNA", at positions 1164 to 1330 of the family's 1533-position model. Lineage: Bacteria; Bacillati; Actinomycetota; Actinomycetes. The record is from RNAcentral.
CGGAGGAAGGUGGGGAUGACGUCAAAUCAUCAUGCCCCUUAUGUCUUGGGCUUCACGCAUGCUACAAUGGCCGGUACAAAGGGUUGCGAUACCGUGAGGUGGAGCUAAUCCCAAAAAGCCGGUCUCAGUUCGGAUUGGGGUCUGCAACUCGACCCCAUGAAGUCGGA